RNAcentral lists this long non-coding RNA (742 nucleotides) under Vulpes vulpes (red fox). RNAcentral's name for it is "lncRNA (ENSVVUG00000015516.1)". Lineage: Eukaryota; Metazoa; Chordata; Mammalia; Carnivora; Canidae. The record is from RNAcentral.
UGGCAGUAUCUCUGCUUAAUAAGCCUCUACCACAUCGCUCACUCUCUGUUGUCCAUGGGAUUUACUCUCCCACUCCAUGAGACAAGAACCAACCUCUCCCGUAUCACUGGGAUCAUGAUCUGAGCCAGGCGGAGGUGNUUUUGAGAGCUUUGGCAGUAUCUCUGCUUAAUAAGCCUCUACCACAUCGCUCACUCUCUGUUGUCCAUGGGAUUUACUCUCCCACUCCAUGAGACAAGAACCAACCUCUCCCGUAUCACUGGGAUCAUGAUCUGAGCCAAAGGCAGAUGCUCAACCACUGAGCCACCCAGGCAUCCCUCAAUUCAGCUUUUUAAAAUAGAUAGUGCAAAUGGGCAGCACACUUCUGGAGGACCUACUCUGCUUUCUGUUUCACAUUCAGAGAGCAUAAAUGAAAUGAGGUACCUGUCUACAUUUACUACUUGUCUAAUUUUUCAGCCAGUCCUCUGUUCCCACAUCAUCUCCCUCUCAGGAUCAAAUGAAAUAAUGUCUUGGUGCAUGGAAAGUAUCAAAAGACCAUACAAGUAGAAGACACUAUUAAUAUUAUUACUUGUUGGCUUAUUCAUCUCAAGAAUCCAGCUUUUCCUAGAAUAUUGAAUACAUGAGGAGCAGGAAAACAUCUUUUUUCUCCCACUGGUGAGUAAAUGGUGUAUCUCCCCAUCUCUGCUCUGGUAUCAGGAUUGGAAAAAGAAAUAAAAUACAUUUCAAAGGAAGGAAAUAAAUUUUG